RNAcentral lists this ribosomal RNA (433 nucleotides) under uncultured bacterium. RNAcentral's name for it is "partial 16S ribosomal RNA". It matches the Rfam family "Bacterial small subunit ribosomal RNA", at positions 29 to 507 of the family's 1533-position model. The record is from RNAcentral.
AACGAACGCUGGCGGCAUGCCUAACACAUGCAAGUCGAACGAGACCUUCGGGUCUAGUGGCGCACGGGUGCGUAACGCGUGGGAACCUGCCCUUAGGUUCGGAAUAACUCCCCGAAAGGGGUGCUAAUACCGGAUAAGGUCUUCGGACCAAAGAUUUAUCGCCUUUGGAUGGGCCCGCGUUGGAUUAGCUAGUUGGUAGGGUAAAAGCCUACCAAGGCGACGAUCCAUAGCUGGUCUGAGAGGAUGAUCAGCCACACUGGGACUGAGACACGGCCCAGACUCCUACGGGAGGCAGCAGUGGUGAAUAUUGGACAAUGGGCGAAAGAAUGAUCCAGCAAUGCCGCGUGAGUGAUGAAGGCCUUAGGGUUGUAAAGCUCAUUUACCCGGGCUGAUAAUGACAGUACCGGGAGAAUAAGCUCCGGCUAACUACGUG